Molecule: long non-coding RNA, 132 nt
Organism: Haemorhous mexicanus (house finch)
Lineage: Eukaryota; Metazoa; Chordata; Aves; Passeriformes; Fringillidae
Exons: 3
Source: RefSeq, a predicted model, not a curated record
CAGGUGUGCCCAGGUGUGCCCAGGUGCCCCCAGGUGUGCCCAGGUGUAUCUCAGGUGUAUCCCAGGUGUGCCCAGGUGCCCCCAGGUGUGCCCAGGUGAGCCCAAGUGUAUCCCAGGUGUAUCCCAGGUGUG